This 253-nucleotide ribosomal RNA is filed under the name uncultured bacterium. RNAcentral describes it as "partial 16S ribosomal RNA". It matches the Rfam family "Bacterial small subunit ribosomal RNA", at positions 524 to 776 of the family's 1533-position model. The record is from RNAcentral.
UACAGAGACUGCAAGCGUUAUUCGGAUUCACUGGGCGUAAAGGGUGCGCAGGCGGCCAAGUGGGUUAGGCGUGAAAGCCUGGGGCUUAACCCCAGAAUUGCACCUAAAACUACAUGGCUAGAGCAUUGGAGAGGGUAGCGGAAUUCACGGUGUAGCAGUGAAAUGCGUAGAUAUCGUGAGGAACACCAGAGGCGAAGGCGGCUACCUGGACAAUUGCUGACGCUCAGGCACGAAAGCGUGGGGAGCAAAAGGG